ACGGGUGAGGAAUACGUCGGAAUCUGCCUAUUUGUGGGGGAUAACGUAGGGAAACUUACGCUAAUACCGCAUACGACCUACGGGUGAAAGCGGAGGACCUUCGGGCUUCGCGCAGAUAGAUGAGCCGACGUCGGAUUAGCUAGUUGGCGGGGUAAAGGCCCACCAAGGCGACGAUCCGUAGCUGGUCUGAGAGGAUGAUCAGCCACACUGGAACUGAGACACGGUCCAGACUCCUACGGGAGGCAGCAGUGGGGAAUAUUGGACAAUGGGCGCAAGCCUGAUCCAGCCAUGCCGCGUGUGUGAAGAAGGCCUUCGGGUUGUAAAGCACUUUUGUCCGGAAAGAAAAGCAUUGGGUUAAUACCCCGAUGUCAUGACGGUACCGGAAGAAUAAGCACCGGCUAACUUCGUGCCAGCAGCCGCGGUAAUACGAAGGGUGCAAGCGUUACUCGGAAUUACUGGGCGUAAAGCGUGCGUAGGUGGUUUGUUAAGUCUGAUGUGAAAGCCCUGGGCUCAACCUGGGAAUGGCAUUGGAAACUGGCUGACUAGAGUGCGGUAGAGGGUAGUGGAAUUCCCGGUGUA
This 579-nucleotide ribosomal RNA is filed under the name Lysobacter sp. BvIRR052. Its description in RNAcentral is "bacterial SSU rRNA". It matches the Rfam family "Bacterial small subunit ribosomal RNA", at positions 102 to 677 of the family's 1533-position model. The record is from RNAcentral. Lineage: Bacteria; Pseudomonadati; Pseudomonadota; Gammaproteobacteria; Lysobacterales; Lysobacteraceae. RNAcentral also lists the same sequence under 5 other names.